Molecule: ribosomal RNA, 254 nt
Filed under: uncultured bacterium
Lineage: Bacteria
Description: partial 16S ribosomal RNA
Rfam family: Bacterial small subunit ribosomal RNA
Source: RNAcentral
UACGUAGGGUGCGAGCGUUGUCCGGAAUUAUUGGGCGUAAAGCGCACGUAGGCGGUUCGUUAAGUCGGAUGUGAAAGCCCUCGGCUCAACUGAGGAAGUGCACCCGAAACUGGCGAGCUUGAGUACGAAAGAGGAUCGCGGAAUUCCCGGUGUAGAGGUGAAAUUCGUAGAUAUCGGGAGGAACACCGGUGGCGAAGGCGGCGAUCUGGGUCGAUACUGACGCUGAGGUGCGAAAGCGUGGGGAGCAAACAGGG